GACGAACGCUGGCGGCGUGCCUAAUACAUGCAAGUUGAGCGCUGAAGGUUGGUACUUGUACCGACUGGCUGAGCAGCGAACGGGUGAGUAACGCGUGGGGAAUCUGCCUUUGAGCGGGGGACAACAUUUGGAAACGAAUGCUAAUACCGCAUAAAAACUUUAAACACAAGUUUUAAGUUUGAAAGAUGCAAUUGCAUCACUCAAAGAUGAUCCCGCGUUGUAUUAGCUAGUUGGUGAGGUAAAGGCUCACCAAGGCGAUGAUACAUAGCCGACCUGAGAGGGUGAUCGGCCACAUUGGGACUGAGACACGGCCCAAACUCCUACGGGAGGCAGCAGUAGGGAAUCUUCGGCAAUGGACGAAAGUCUGACCGAGCAACGCCGCGUGAGUGAAGAAGGUUUUCGGAUCGUAAAACUCUGUUGGUAGAGAAGAACGUUGGUGAGAGUGGAAAGCUCAUCAAGUGACGGUAACUACCCAGAAAGGGACGGCUAACUACGUG
This 497-nucleotide ribosomal RNA is filed under the name uncultured bacterium. RNAcentral describes it as "partial 16S ribosomal RNA". It matches the Rfam family "Bacterial small subunit ribosomal RNA", at positions 28 to 507 of the family's 1533-position model. The record is from RNAcentral.